Molecule: ribosomal RNA, 2632 nt
Filed under: Triticum aestivum (bread wheat)
Lineage: Eukaryota; Viridiplantae; Streptophyta; Magnoliopsida; Poales; Poaceae
Description: partial small subunit ribosomal RNA
Source: RNAcentral
CCCUUUGUGUGUGAGCCCGGGGACCUGCGACUGCGCUCAGGUAGCUAGGGGUUCGGCAGAAGGAGGGAGAGGGCACGUCUCCGCCGCCGCCGCGUGCUCCACCCUUUCUACAGCUCCCGGCAGUCCCAGGCGCCGCUGCUCGACCUCUGCCUCGCCCCUCGUUCCCGCUUCUUCGCUUCGGACCGUCACCUAGCGAGCUGCUCGGGAUCUAGAGGGCCGCUGGAUCGACAACCCUCAAGGGUAAGGGUGGGUCUCUAUGACAAGCGCUAGAAGCUCGGCCUGCUUCGGGUUAGGCCUCGNNNNNNUCCAGCACACACGCUACACCACCUCAGGCGCUGCCUCCUUAGGAGGCUAGGUGGGUCGAGUGGCUAGAUGCUUGGGAUGUAAGGCCUGCUUGAUCGGCGUCUAGGUCAGCAUGCGAGGCGGAAGUUCGUACGGUACCGAUUUAUGCUCCGUCUUCUUCUAGCAGAUCGACUGGACAAGUGAUACCUAGUGAUGACCAUGGUUGGUAGAAGGACGGACGCGUUCCUGGCAGCAGAGGAAAGGUAGGCACUUGAGCGUUCUCUACGUUAUGAAAGACGACGUUUUAGGCAGUAGAACGAGAGCAGGAAAGAGCUGUUGGUUGGCGACUUAUUUACGACACCGAACACCAAAGUUUCCCUGCCGGUCUCUUUUUGGCGGGAACAAAACUGCAGACGGGUAGAUUAAGCAUUUCUACUAUAGGUGUUCACCUUCGUCGUCACCUGUCCGCUCAUAGUAGUCUUACGCUUCCAGUAACAAGUAAACGACCUAUUGUUUUGAUGUGAUCCGGUCGAGUAGAUAGAAGUUCUCGUGAUACUUAAACGAUAAAUACUUCAAGUUCACCUGUUUGGUCAAGUAGAUGGGUGAAAAUUACUGGCACACGUAAGACCAGUUCUACAAAAGGCGGAACCUUCUCUACGUUUAAACCUAUAUUUCUAUUGUGUACCAUUAAACCGGAAACUGUAAGGUUGAGCCAUACUCUCUACGGUAAUGUACAUAAAAGAAGCACUACGUAGAUCAGAGUUUGACAAUGUACUACUACCUCCCGGGUAGUAACUGAAUCUUCCUUUUCAACACCCAGAUCAAUUGUUAGUUUAGCUACUCUGCAAACAUGGAAGCAGUUAUAACGUAUUCACGAAGCUAAAAACCUCCUCCAAGUUAACGUACGGAGCGGAGGUGGAACCUUACUGUAAAUCAGGUUAGUUCAAAAAUCUAGGAUAAACAUAACUCUCCUACUGAGCAUUCGUAUUGUAGCUGAGACCAGAAUAACAACUCGUCCACAGUUUUCUUAGUGUACGACUCUUUUAACCUUAAGCGUUCCCACUACAGUAACUUUCAAAAUUACCUUUCGUGUAAAGAUGAUGUUAACUCAAUCUUUCGUACAACUAUCUGAAUACAACCCUAGUAAAACUAGUUUCUUUCUUUGACUUAUGACUUUUUCUACAAAGCCACUUUUAUAAACUACGAUGGUUUGAAACAGGUUCUUAAUCUUUGAACUGACGUUAACAUAGCCUAGCACCUCUCCUGUAACAUUUUCCACGAAUGGGAUAGUACCCACUUCUUCGGUACAGUCAGAAUACUAAGAACUAGGAACUCGACCCGGACUCCGUGGACGGGUGACGACCGGAAGUACCUACUCAGUUGGCUUAAUUGGAACGUACGAGUAACGUUUAAGUAAAAACCGUAUUAGAAAAGCAACACAUAAGAACCUUUUUUUUUGAAGUUUAAUACCCACGGAAACCUGGCAUCUUCGUCGAAUUCGAAUUGUACGUACAAUCUCGUCUUGAAUAAUAACCGAGGAUGAAUACAGCUCAGAACACUUUGAGUGUACUACAGACACACGUUCACAUCGUCAGCACCUACUACUUAACUUGACCCGUUAAUACAACCUCUCAUUGCAAACCUGGCAUCUUCGUAUACAUCGAAUCUCGUCUUACAAUAACCGAUCAUUAACAAUCAUGUAACGGUUAAGUAAGGGAAAUGGAACAACACGUCCCAUUUUCCCUUAUUCUUAUGGGUAGUACAUCGUUACAUAUGAAAGUGAGAUAUAACCGUUACAUAUAAAGGUGGGAUCUCAUUUAACGUAAAAUAGAAAUGUUUUCUAAGGUAGAAGUGGGGGAUAGUGAAGUGGUGGAUACGAAAUAUGAGAUAUAACCGUUACAUAUGAAAGUGGGAUGUCAUUCAACGUAAAAUAGAAAAGUUUGGCGAAGGCAACUAGGUAGACCAAGUUUCUAAGCAUCAGACUACCACGUUACGCAAUGGUUAUCCUCUUAGCCGUAACAUCUGCAGUAGCCGCGACUGAGUAGGUACAUACGGUACGGGACACUGUAGUCUAUCCUAUGUGGCAGGCUCGGAGAACUCAUGUAUAUACGGACGCUGAGAGAAAGCGAAGAAGGUCCCGAGUUCAUUAUUCACCGGUAGAGGGCCAGGACUUAUGAAUGGAGUCCAGUUCAACGAAAAGCGUACCCUAGGUCCUCUUGUACUGGUCAAUCACGUUAAAUGACGGUACUAUGAACAACCUUGACACCCUGUCUAAUAAAGACUUGAAUACUCGUCGUCACAAGUAUGAUACUUAUCGAGAUCGGUACAGAGUACAGGUCAAUUGUUUAUU